This 66-nucleotide transfer RNA is filed under the name Angaria neglecta. RNAcentral's name for it is "tRNA-Lys". The record is from RNAcentral. Lineage: Eukaryota; Metazoa; Mollusca; Gastropoda; Trochida; Turbinidae.
AGGUGGCUGAGGAGAAAAAAUAAGCGUUAGAUUUUUAAUCUAAAGACGGUGUAUGAUUUUACCCCU